Molecule: ribosomal RNA, 370 nt
Filed under: uncultured organism
Description: bacterial LSU rRNA
Rfam family: Bacterial large subunit ribosomal RNA
Source: RNAcentral
CUUUACUAUAACCUAACAUUGUGUUUUGACAUUACAUGCGUAGCAUAGGUGGGAGACUUUGAAGCCUGGGUUCUGGCCUGGGCUGAGUCGCAAUGUGAAAUACCACCCUUGUGAUAUCGAAAUUCUAACUCAAGUUUCUGAAUCGAGGCUGAGGACAGUGUUAGGCGGGUAGUUUGACUGGGGCGGUCGCCUCCUAAAAUGUAACGGAGGCUCCCAAAGGUUUCCUCAGCACGCUUGGUAACCGUGCGCAGAGUGCAAAGGCACAAGGAAGCUUAACUGUAAGGCAUACAAGCCGAACAGAGACGAAAGUCGGGCUUAGUGAUCCGGUGGUUUCUGCAUGGAAUGGCCAUCGCUCAAAGGAUAAAAGGUA